GCCUGUGAAUGUAUCAUGCGCUGAGCUGUCUUCCCAGUCCAAACGCCCUUCUCACUCAUGAGGCCACACCUGGGACACAGGACACCUGUGUGAGUGGGCGCAGACUGGAGGGAGUCAGCGUGCCCCUGGUCUGUCGGGUCAGCAGCUGUGGAUUUGCCUUCUGAUGGCAAGCGAGGCGAUGUUCAUUAAGGCAGACCGUGGGCGCUUCAACAGCCUGUCCUCAGCCUAUGCUCCUAACCUCACAACCUUGAGUGAAUGCGAUGCGGACAGAGCACAUCUUAUUACUGGACGCUAAGGAUUUGGGGUUUGUUUGUUAAUCGCACCGAUGAGUACAGGACGGAAGAAAAUGGAAGAGAAAAGAGAUGCUGUAGUAGAGAACAUGCUUCUCCCUCCGGAAGACGCCUGGGCUGUCUGACUCAUCUGUGCAGGUUUCAGAGCAAGCGCGUGGUUGAUAAAUGCUGGAGACCCCAGCGGUACAGCUGGAACGCAGCGCCACGGAAAACACCGCUGACAUACGAGCUUGGGAGCCAGAGAAGCUGGCUGUGACGGAGAUGACGAAACUUGGGUAGAAAUGCUUCCUGCAACUGUAGACGUGAUGAGUCCAGGCAAGGUGCCUGCGCUGUGGGGUAUUUAGGAAUGGGGCCUGUCAGCUUUCGUGGUGUCUUUAUACUGUCUUUCAUGAUGCUGACCGACCUCACGCUGUCAAACCUCUUCCAUGCUAAUUAAAGCUCUCAAUAAUCUCCAUUCCAAGA
Molecule: long non-coding RNA, 752 nt
Organism: Mesocricetus auratus (golden hamster)
Lineage: Eukaryota; Metazoa; Chordata; Mammalia; Rodentia; Cricetidae
Exons: 2
Source: RefSeq, a predicted model, not a curated record